CCCUUAGAUGUUCUGGGCCGCACGCGUGCUACACUGAGUGGAUCAGCGGGUCAGGUUGCGCGAAAGUGUUUCCUAAUCUUUAAAUCCGCUCGUGAUGGGGAUUGACGGUUGCAAUUUUCCGUCAUGAACGAGGAAUACCUUGUAAGCGCGGGUCAUCAUCCCGCGCUGAAUACGUCCCCGCCCUUUGUACACACCGCCCGUCGCUCCUACCGAUUGAGUGGUCCGGUGAGGCUUUGGGAUCUGGGCGGAAAGAGCGUUUCGCUGUUUCUGCCCGGAAAACUCAGUCGAACCUUAUCAUUUAGAGGAAGGAGAAGUCGUAACA
This 322-nucleotide ribosomal RNA is filed under the name uncultured eukaryote. RNAcentral describes it as "partial 18S ribosomal RNA". It matches the Rfam family "Eukaryotic small subunit ribosomal RNA", at positions 1470 to 1796 of the family's 1831-position model. The record is from RNAcentral.